UGGGGAAUCUUGCACAAUGGGGGCAACCCUGAUGCAGCGACGCCGCGUGAGCGAUGAAGGUUUUCGAAUCGUAAAGCUCUGUCCUAUGGGAAGAUAAUGACGGUACCAUAGGAGGAAGCCCCGGCUAACUACGUGCCAGCAGCCGCGGUAAUACGUAGGGGGCAAGCGUUGUCCGGAAUUACUGGGCGUAAAGGGUUCGCAGGCGGCAUGGCAAGUCCGAUGUAAAAGGCGAAGGCUCAACCUUCGUAAGCAUCGGAAACUGUCAAGCUUGAGUGAAGGAGAGGCAAGUGGAAUUCCUAGUGUAGCGGUGGAAUGCGUAGAUAUUAGGAGGAAUACCGGUGGCGAAGGCGACUUGCUGGACUUCAACUGACGCUGAGGAACGAAAGCGUGGGUAGCAAACAGG
RNAcentral lists this ribosomal RNA (403 nucleotides) under Verrucomicrobiota bacterium. RNAcentral's name for it is "Verrucomicrobia bacterium partial 16S ribosomal RNA". It matches the Rfam family "Bacterial small subunit ribosomal RNA", at positions 355 to 776 of the family's 1533-position model. Lineage: Bacteria; Pseudomonadati; Verrucomicrobiota. The record is from RNAcentral.